UUAUUCAGAUAGAUUUGAAAUUUGUUUUUAUUUUUUGAUUAAUUUAGAUAGUUUAUUCAUUAAGGGUAUAAACGAUAUUAACCACUCUAACUUUUAACAUGAGAACUCCGUUGCAAAAAUUUACUUCUCAAAUAAUAGUAUAGAUAUCUAUAUAAAUUAAUAAAAACUUAUAGUGUCAAAAUUAUUAAUUUAUAGAGUUUUUACUAUAUCGAAUAAACUAGAGCUAAUUAGCAAAAAAAAAAGAAUUAUAAUAUUAACAUAUAUUGUGAUCAUCUAAUUUACAGUAUUUUAUCAUACCACAUUACAUUAAAUCUGAUUACUGACCAAAAACAUUGAGAAAUACAUAUGGAAUUCUGAAAUACUACCGACCCUUGUAUAUAGAAGUUUCCCAGUAUAUUCUACUAUCAGAGUUUAAAACCAAGCUCUGUAACUAUUAUCGUUGCAACUUGCAAGUUGUUAAUUACUGUUGGCUGUUGCAUACUGAAAGCUAAAGAGAGAGGCUAGUUAAUUAUGUUGUACACUGAGUGUGUAUUAGUUUAUAUAGUGUACUAGUUUAUAUAGUACGUAUCAAUAGUAGCACAACUGUCCAUGCAUGCAGAAUCACAUCACAUGCAGAACGUUGUCACUAUAUUUUUAAAAUUUCAUGAGGACCACACAUUACAAAUUAUUACAUAUGGUCCUCCGCACGAGUCAUAAAUGAUGUUGCACCGUUAUUUAUGGUAACAUAUGUUGACUCUUACAGUCUUACCUGUCUCAUUCAAUGCGAAUUAUAUAUGGUCUUAUUCGAUACUUCUAGAACGAUAAAUGAUGAUGUUGAUAGACUGAUAAUGGGUGACAAAGAAACUGAUAUAAUGAUAGUCGGAAAAUGAGCAUAUGAUCUCUCUUUUUUUGCUCACCAGAGUUUAGCUACUAGUCUACUAGCUAAUAGUUGUUAUAAGGUGCUGUAAAUGAUGAUGAGUCGGAGUCUUGGUCAUGUUGUUAAAUUUUUAUUCGAUGAUAACGAUUAAAAAAUGAUGAUCAGUCUUCGUCAUGUUGUUGUUCGUGACGACAACGAUAUUUGGUUGUUAUUACCGAAUCAACUACUACGG
Long non-coding RNA from Brassica rapa (field mustard), 1088 nucleotides. RefSeq lists it as uncharacterized. NCBI's taxonomy places the organism in Eukaryota, Viridiplantae, Streptophyta, Magnoliopsida, Brassicales, Brassicaceae. The record is from RefSeq and is a predicted model, not a curated record.